RNAcentral lists this ribosomal RNA (253 nucleotides) under uncultured bacterium. RNAcentral's name for it is "partial 16S ribosomal RNA". It matches the Rfam family "Bacterial small subunit ribosomal RNA", at positions 524 to 776 of the family's 1533-position model. The record is from RNAcentral.
UACGGAGGAUGCAAGCGUUAUCCGGAAUGAUUGGGCGUAAGGCGUCCGCAGGCGGCUAUGUAAGUCUGCUGUUAAAGAGUGAGGCUCAACCUCAUAAGAGCAGUGGAAACUACAUGGCUAGAGUGCGUUCGGGGCAGAGGGAAUUCCUGGUGUAGCGGUGAAAUGCGUAGAGAUCAGGAAGAACACCGGUGGCGAAAGCGCUCUGCUAGGCCGCAACUGACACUCAUGGACGAAAGCUAGGGGAGCGAAUGGG